GAGCACUUCCUUGGUAAGGAAGAGGUCACCGGUUCGAUUCCGGUUGUGGGCUCCA
This 55-nucleotide transfer RNA is filed under the name Coxiellaceae bacterium. RNAcentral describes it as "tRNA-Ser". It matches the Rfam family "tRNA", at positions 21 to 71 of the family's 71-position model. From Rfam's summary of the family: Transfer RNA (tRNA) molecules are approximately 80 nucleotides in length. Lineage: Bacteria; Pseudomonadati; Pseudomonadota; Gammaproteobacteria; Legionellales; Coxiellaceae. The record is from RNAcentral.